This 400-nucleotide unclassified non-coding RNA is filed under the name soil metagenome. Its description in RNAcentral is "partial contains 5.8S ribosomal RNA, internal transcribed spacer 2, and large subunit ribosomal RNA". The stretch from base 1 to 120 matches the Rfam family "5.8S ribosomal RNA", at positions 35 to 154 of the family's 154-position model. The record is from RNAcentral.
GAUGAAGAACGUAGUGAAACGCGAAAGGUAAUGCGAAUUGCAGAAUCAGUGAGUCAUCGAAUCUUUGAACGCACCUUGCGCCCCUUGGUUAUUCCAAAGGGCAUGCCUGUUUGAGUAUCAUGAACACCUCAACUCUUGUGGUUUCCCACAAUGAGCUUGGACUGUGGAGGUUUUGUUGGCCCUGUGGUCAGCUCCUCUCAAAUGGAUCAGCUUACCGGUGUUUGGUGGCAUUACGGGUGUGAUAACUAUCUACGCUCGUGGUCGUCUCCAAAUAACCUCCAGUGAUGGAGGUUCGCUGGAGCUUAUAAAUGUCUCUCCCCAGUGAAGACAGCCUUUGAACGUUCGAUCUCAAAUCAGGUAGGACUACCCGCUGAACUUAAGCAUAUCAAUAAGCGGAGGA